GAAAAUUCCUGUACUAUCCUGUAACAGAACUGUGGGGACACAGGCAGAGAGCGUGAGCCGGGAAUGGAAAGACCGGUACAAGCGAGGUAGGAGAAGAGUUGGCAAAUCCGCUCUUUAAUCUGAAGACGUGAUGUGGACUGAAAAUAAGUAGGGAAGCACGUGAGCUGACUGUCAAGAAAAGCCGCUAUUGUUUGCAGGAUACCCGUACCGUAAACCGACACAGGUGGAUGAGGAGAGAAUCCUAAGGCCGACGGGAGAAGCAUUGUUAAGGAACUCGGCAAAAUGACUCCGUAACUUCGGGAGAAGGAGUGCCAGUAAGAUGGCCGCAGAGAAUUGGCCCAAGCAACUGUUUAGCAAAAACACAGGUCUAUGCAAAACCGAAAGGUGAGGUAUAUGGGCUGACGCCUGCCCGGUGCUGGAAGGUUAAGGGGAGAGGUUAGCGCAAGCGAAGCUUUGAACUUAAGCCCCAGUAAACGGCGGCCGUAACUAUAACGGUCCUAAGGUAGCGAAAUUCCUUGUCGGGUAAGUUCCGACCCGCACGAAAGGCGUAAUGAUUUGGGCACUGUCUCAACAAUGCACCCGGUGAAAUUGAAAUACCAGUGAAGAUGCUGGUUACCUGCGCCAGGACGGAAAGACCCCAUGGAGCUUUACUCCAGCCUGAUACUGGGAUUCGGUAUUGCAUGUACAGGAUAGGUGGGAGGCUAGGAAAUGGUAACGCCAGUUGCCAUGGAGCCAAUGUUGGGAUACCACCCUUGCAGUACUGGGUUUCUAACCAGCAGCCGUGAUCCGGCUGGGGGACAAUGUCAGGUGGGGAGUUUGACUGGGGCGGUCGCCUCCGAAAGGGUAUCGGAGGCGCUCAAAGGUUCCCUCAGAAUGGUUGGAAACCAUUCGAAGAGUGCAAAGGCAGAAGGGAGCUUGACUGCGACACCGACGGGUGGAGCAGGUACGAAAGUAGGACUUAGUGAUCCGGUGGUAUAAAGUGGGAUUGCCAUCGCUCAACGGAUAGAAGCUACCCUGGGAUAACAGGCUUAUCACUCCCAAGAGUUCACAUCGACGGAGUGGUUUGGCACCUCGAUGUCGGCUCAUCGCAUCCUGGGGCUGAAGUAGGUCCCAAGGGUUGGGCUGCUCGCCCAUUAAAGCGGUACGCGAGCUGGGUUCAGAACGUCGUGAGACAGUUCGGUCCCUAUCCGGCGUGGGCGUAAGAUAUUUGAGAGGAGCUGUCCUUAGUACGAGAGGACCGGAAUGGACUGGCCGCUGGUGUAUCUGUUGUCUUACCAAAGGCAUAGCAGAGUAGCCAAGCCGGGAAGGGAUAAACGCUGAAGGCAUCUAAGCGUGAAGCCCCCCUCAAGAUGAGAUAUCUCAUAACGUCAAGUUAGUAAGACCCCUUGAAGACGACGAGGUAGAUAGGGCAGAGGUGGAAGUGUGGUAACACAUGGAGCUGACUGUUACUAAUAGGUCGAGGGCAUAACC
RNAcentral lists this ribosomal RNA (1470 nucleotides) under metagenome. RNAcentral's name for it is "bacterial LSU rRNA". It matches the Rfam family "Bacterial large subunit ribosomal RNA", at positions 1431 to 2925 of the family's 2925-position model. The record is from RNAcentral.